GGAAAUAAAAGUCGUAACAAGGUUUCCGUAGGUGAACCUGCGGAAGGAUCAUUAUUGUAUAACCGAGGUGCGAGGGCUGUCGCUGACCCGAAAGGUCGUGCACGCCCGAGUGCCCUCACACACAUCCAUCUCACCCCUAUGUGCACCACCGCGUGGGUCCCCCUUUGGCUUGUUCGGAGGGGGGCUUACGUUUUCACACAAACUUUGUAUGCAGAGUAGAAUGUAUUUUUUGUUUUUGCGAUCACGCAAUCAAUACAACUUUCAACAACGGAUCUCUUGGCUCUU
Molecule: unclassified non-coding RNA, 285 nt
Filed under: plant metagenome
Description: partial contains small subunit ribosomal RNA, internal transcribed spacer 1, and 5.8S ribosomal RNA
Rfam family: Eukaryotic small subunit ribosomal RNA (bases 1-54)
Source: RNAcentral